RNAcentral lists this long non-coding RNA (414 nucleotides) under Mytilus galloprovincialis (Mediterranean mussel). The record is from RNAcentral. Lineage: Eukaryota; Metazoa; Mollusca; Bivalvia; Mytilida; Mytilidae.
GGAACCUCGGAAAGGGCUGCUGGGUAGCGUUGUAAGGCUGAUAAUAACUGUUACUAGUAUCAGUAGAGUUGGCAGGUCUAGAAACGGAGGUGGACGGUUUUGAUCAAUUAUCUGUGGUACAGAACUAGACUUGGCACCUGAAUGUACUGGUGGCUCGUGAAAAAGCAAAGUAUCAUCGUCGUCUGAAUGGUUUUCGGUCAUCAUGUGUAUAACGAAACGGAAGGUAUGCUACUCGGUAAAGGCAGAACGUCGAAUAACUGGUUAUAAAAAUAUCUUUUAUUUAUAAUAAGAUUCUGCACGAGAAUCACGAUCCUACCCUCGUACAAACGGGUAGGAUACCUGCAUUGCGACAUACAAUAGCCAAUCAAAUCAUACAAUAACAUAAAACCAGGUAUGCAACCAUGUGCUCAUCAA